UACGUAGGGGGCGAGCGUUGUCCGGAUUCAUUGGGCGUAAAGCGCUUUAAGGCGGUUCGGUAAGUCGGGUGUGAAACCUCCAGGCUCAACCUGGAGACGCCACUCGAUACUGCUGUGACUAGAGUUCGGUAGGGGAUCACGGAAUUCCUGGUGUAGCGGUGAAAUGCGCAGAUAUCAGGAGGAACACCAGUGGCGAAGGCGCCGCUCUGGGCCGAGACUGACGCUGAGGAGCGAAAGCGUGGGUAGCAAACAGG
Molecule: ribosomal RNA, 254 nt
Filed under: uncultured bacterium
Lineage: Bacteria
Description: partial 16S ribosomal RNA
Rfam family: Bacterial small subunit ribosomal RNA
Source: RNAcentral